RNAcentral lists this long non-coding RNA (1051 nucleotides) under Sphaeramia orbicularis (orbiculate cardinalfish). RNAcentral describes it as "lncRNA (ENSSORG00005013525.1)". The record is from RNAcentral. Lineage: Eukaryota; Metazoa; Chordata; Actinopteri; Kurtiformes; Apogonidae.
UUUUCAACUAACAAAGCUUAAAGUACUUUGCAAAAUGAUGUAUUUUUUCCACUCUCUGAAUUAAGUCUUCCGUGUGUCUUUUGUUCCUAUGCAGUGAUGGAUUCUCCUCCAGGCCCAGUUGUGUUGAAGAAGCAGAAGGACAGUGUUCCCCAGUCUGUAUUCACUAUUCCCCCUGAACUGGAUGUGUCGCUACUGCUGGAGUUUGUAGGGGCAGAAGGGCAUAACUUCAAGUUGUUUUGUGAGAUGACGCUUGACAUUGCCAGUUGCAGUGCUAGUUUCCAUUGUGGAUUGGAUGAUGCACUGUCCAGAGCGUUUCCAUAGUGACCGUAUUGUUUCCAGUCAAACAGCUAUUAGUGAGAGAUCCAACGCAUCUCAAAGUACGUGAAUUUUGAUAAGAUGUUUCUUACAAUUAGAAGGUAUGUGCUGAAUACAAUAACCUUUCACACAUAGCAGCAUGAUCAUGUUGUGAAGUAUUUCUUUUUGCUAAAGUCAAUUUAGCUAAAAAUUGCUAGUUGCCUUCUUUGAGAAUUAUUGCAGAUGUUGAAUGAAAACCAGGGGGUUUAUCUUGAAUCAUGGGUUCUUUAUAGACGUGAUAAUAUUCUGUGUAUGUAAGUAAUUAAGCUAACUAGCAGGAGCUGAAGUUUUAGGUAAGGUAAGGGGUAAGAUAAUCUUUAGUGCCUGCCACAUCACGGUAAAUUAAACUGACCCCCAGCUCUGCUGCGAACACCAGCAGGGCAGAACCCCAUAGAAGUACAGCAGUCUAUUAAUUGCAACGACUGUUGUGUUAGUUAUGCUUAGUAUGUUGUGUAUUAAUAAGAUAAAAUGUUAUCGCUGUCUUCUAAAUAGAAUAAGCCUGAAGAAUUGGACUCAGCUAAUGCUGGGGCUGCAGCUGCAUACUGGUUGCCAGUAGAAAUGAGGAAAAACCUCCUUGUUCAGGACCAGAGGUGGGUUUCCAACACCCUUUUUCUCUCUGGCAAACUGCGACCAGAUCUGAGGCUGUGGUAUGAGCCUCCAGUCCUGGAGCGGAUUUACCACCAAACGCCAACACCAG